Molecule: ribosomal RNA, 472 nt
Filed under: uncultured bacterium
Lineage: Bacteria
Description: bacterial SSU rRNA
Rfam family: Bacterial small subunit ribosomal RNA
Source: RNAcentral
AGAGUUUGAUCCUGGCUCAGAACGAACGCUGGCGGCAUGCCUAACACAUGCAAGUCGAACGAGACCUUCGGGUCUAGUGGCGCACGGGUGCGUAACGCGUGGGAAUCUGCCCUCAGGUACGGAAUAACUCAGGGAAACUUGAGCUAAUACCGUAUAAUGACUUCGGUCCAAAGAUUUAUCGCCUGAGGAUGAGCCCGCGUCGGAUUAGCUAGUUGGUGAGGUAAAAGCUCACCAAGGCGACGAUCCGUAGCUGGUCUGAGAGGAUGAUCAGCCACACUGGGACUGAGACACGGCCCAGACUCCUACGGGAGGCAGCAGUGGGGAAUAUUGGACAAUGGGCGAAAGCCUGAUCCAGCAAUGCCACGUGAGUGAUGAAGGCCUUAGGGUUGUAAAGCUCUUUUACCCGGGAUGAUAAUGACAGUACCGGGAGAAUAAGCCCCGGCUAACUCCGUGCCAGCCGCCGCGGUAAUAC